AUACGGAACGUACCUCUAGGGGUGCGUUCGGGGAGCACGCUAUUCGCACAAUAAGUAUCUAAGACCGUUCGAGGAGACGCUUUGUGGCGCUAUAAAAUCGAUAAUGACAUCACUCUCAAAGCAGCGUGACGUCAUUAUUCGCGCAAUUUUUCGCUAUCAUUUUCGAGGUAGGGCAGCAAAUGCUAUUAGCGCUAAUUGGCGCUUAUUCUUUCCUCGAACGUUCGAUUGUGCUUUAAAGUGUUAGUCUAUGAUCUGUUCUUUUUAACUGCUGUUCUUUCAACCAAUUACAACAGUGCAACCAGAAAGAACAAACCAAUUGCGUCAAAAGUCAAAUAAGGACAAUUUAUUAAACUGUGAGAAACUGUAUUCACAAUGGCUCAACCACUUAGUUAAAUAUCUGAAAAUGUCGAAAUUCAUCUUUUAGAUGAAAACGAUGUGACAUACACAAUAAAAGUAUCGCCAAAUGAUGCAGCGCGUGCAGAAAAUGAAAGAGCAAAAUCACAAGAUUCAGAUUUUGAUGCAGCAAGUCUGUCAAUGGAGUCUUCCAAUUCUGAGGAUAAUAAUGAAUCAAUGUUUAAAUGGUCUCAUGCGGCAAUUCUAUUGCUGGUAGAAAAGUAUCGGCUGCAAAAAAAUAACAUUGUAUCGAGUAAAAUGUCCCAGAAAAAAGUAUGGAAUAAUAUUGCAUCAGCAUUAUUUGUUAAAGGCUAUAAUGUCACUGAACCUCAAUGUCUUUCAAAAUUUCACGGAAUGAAACGAACUUAUAAAUCUAUAAAAGAUCACAAUAGCAAAUCAGGGAAUAA
This is a long non-coding RNA of Harpegnathos saltator (Jerdon's jumping ant), 800 nucleotides long. RefSeq lists it as uncharacterized. The transcript is spliced from 2 exons. The record is from RefSeq and is a predicted model, not a curated record. Lineage: Eukaryota; Metazoa; Arthropoda; Insecta; Hymenoptera; Formicidae.